This is a long non-coding RNA of Coregonus clupeaformis (lake whitefish), 354 nucleotides long. RefSeq lists it as uncharacterized. The transcript is spliced from 3 exons. NCBI's taxonomy places the organism in Eukaryota, Metazoa, Chordata, Actinopteri, Salmoniformes, Salmonidae. The record is from RefSeq and is a predicted model, not a curated record.
AGAUCUCUGUUCCUAUCCUCAAGCAGGCUGCGCAGUGAAGAAUACGAACACAAAACAAGUUUUACUCGAAAAUCCCCUGUCCUCGGUGUCGUUGGUGUUUUAUAUAAUCCACCUAGUUAAUAUUGUCUUUAUCGACCAGUGAGCCUACGAAACGUCUACUCAAAAGCAUGUGGAAUGAAGACAAGCCAUCUCAAAGCUUUUUUUGGCUUCACUGAAUUUCUCAGGACAAAGAUGAAGUGGGAGAGUUAGUCUUGAAGGAGAGAUAUCCUUGAAUAACAAAUGCAAUUGGGUUAAGAUAUCAUCAAGGGCAGGGGCGGCCUGUUCAAUAGGGCGAUAUGGGCGACGCACUGCCAA